RNAcentral lists this ribosomal RNA (1152 nucleotides) under uncultured organism. RNAcentral's name for it is "bacterial SSU rRNA". It matches the Rfam family "Bacterial small subunit ribosomal RNA", at positions 225 to 1376 of the family's 1533-position model. The record is from RNAcentral.
AUGGGCAUGCGUGCCCAUUAGCUAGAUGGUAAGGUAACGGCUUACCAUGGCAAUGAUGGCUAGGGGUUCUGCAAGGAAGGCCCCCCACACUGGUACUGAGACACGGACCAGACUCCUACGGGAGGCAGCAGUGAGGAAUAUUGGUCAAUGGAGGCAACUCUGAACCAGCCAAGCCGCGUGAAGGAAGACUGUCCUAUGGAUUGUAAACUUCUUUUGUGGCAGAAUAAACUACCGUACUUGUACGGUAUUGCAUGUAUGCCAUGAAUAAGCAUCGGCUAACUCCGUGCCAAGCAGCCGCGGUAAUACGGAGGAUGCAGGCGUUAUCCGGAUUUAUUAGGUUUAAAGGGUGUUCAGGCUGCCUGGUAAGUCAGGGGUGAAAGUCGGUCGCUCAACGAUCGAAUUGCCUUUGAAACUGUCAGGCUCGAGUAUGGAUGCGGUAGCCGGAAUGUGUAGUGUAGCGGUGAAAUGCAUAGAUAUUACACAGAACACCGAUUGCGAAGGCAGCUUACCAAACCAGCACUGACGCUGAAGCACGAAAGCGUGGGGAGCGAACAGGAUUAGAUACCCUGGUAGUCCACGCCGUAAACUUUGCUCACUCGCUGUUGGCGAUAGUCAGUCAGCGGCCAAGGGAAACCGAUAAGUGAGCCACCUGGGGAGUACGGCCGCAAGGUUGAAACUCAAAGGAAUUGACGGGGGCCCGCACAAGCGGUGGAACAUGUGGUUUAAUUCGAUGAUACGCGAGGAACCUUACCUGGGCUUAAAUGUGAAGUGCAUUGAUUGGAAACAAUCAUUUCCUUCGGGACCCUUUACAAGGUGCUGCAUGGUUGUCGUCAGCUCGUGCCGUGAGGUGUCGGGUUAAGUCCCAUAACGAGCGCAACCCCUAUUGUUAGUUACCAGCGCGUAAUGGCGGGGACUCUAGCGAAACUGCCGGUGUAAACCGCGAGGAAGGUGGGGAUGACGUCAAAUCAGCACGGCCCUUAUGUCCAGGGCUACACACGUGUUACAAUGGCCGGUACAGCGGGCAGCUAGGCAGCGAUGUCAUGCUAAUCCCGAAAGCCGGUCCCAGUUCGGAUUGGAGUCUGCAACCCGACUCCAUGAAGGUGGAAUCGCUAGUAAUCGCGCAUCAGCCAUGGCGCGGUGAAUACGUUCCCG